This 441-nucleotide ribosomal RNA is filed under the name uncultured bacterium. RNAcentral describes it as "partial 16S ribosomal RNA". It matches the Rfam family "Bacterial small subunit ribosomal RNA", at positions 338 to 795 of the family's 1533-position model. The record is from RNAcentral.
CCUACGGGUGGCAGCAGUGGGGAAUAUUGGGCAAUGGAGGAAACUCUGACCCAGCAACGCCGCGUGAAGGAUGAAGGUUUUCUGAUUUGUAACUUCUGUUUCGAGGGAUGAAGAAUGACGGUACCUCGUGAGGAAGCCCCGGCAAACUACGUGCCAGCAGCUGAGGUAAUACGUAGGGGGCAAGCGUUGUCCGGAAUGACUGGGCGUAAAGGGAUUGUAGGCGGGCUUUUAAGUUCUAUGUGAAAGCCCCGGGCUUAAACGAGGAACUGCAUAUAAAACUGGAGGGCUGGAGUGCAGGAGAGGUAAGCGGAAUUUCUGGUGUAGCGGUGGAAUGCGUAGAUAUUAGGAAGAACACCGAAGGCGAAGGCAGCUUACUGGAGUGUAACUGACGCUGAGGCUCGAAAGCGUGGGGAGCAAACAGGAUUAGAUACCCCUGUAGUC